GCCACCGUUGCGGGAGAGUGCGUGCAUCGCAUGCCGCCGAAGGCGCAAGCACCCGGAAUCGCUCAGGCAAAAGGAUCGCAACGCCAGG
This 88-nucleotide non-coding RNA is filed under the name Thiobacillus sp. Its description in RNAcentral is "Glycine sequence". It matches the Rfam family "Glycine riboswitch aptamer". From Rfam's summary of the family: This family represents the bacterial glycine riboswitch. Glycine riboswitches usually consist of two metabolite-binding aptamers domains with similar structures in tandem. The record is from RNAcentral. Lineage: Bacteria; Pseudomonadati; Pseudomonadota; Betaproteobacteria; Nitrosomonadales; Thiobacillaceae.